This 253-nucleotide ribosomal RNA is filed under the name uncultured bacterium. RNAcentral describes it as "partial 16S ribosomal RNA". It matches the Rfam family "Bacterial small subunit ribosomal RNA", at positions 524 to 776 of the family's 1533-position model. The record is from RNAcentral.
GACGGAGGGUGCAAGCGUUGUUCGGAAUUACUGGGCGUAAAGGGCGCGUAUGCGGUCUGUUAAGUUCGGUGUGAAAGCCCCCGGCUCACCUGGGGAACUGCGCCGGAAACCGACAGACUCGAGUACCGGAGAGGAGGGUGGAAUUCCUGGUGUAGCGGUGAAAUGCGUAGAUAUCAGGAGGAACACCGGUGGCGAAGGCGGCCCUCUGGACGGAUACUGACGCUGAGGCGCGAAAGCGUGGGGAGCGAACAGG